Molecule: ribosomal RNA, 200 nt
Filed under: uncultured bacterium
Lineage: Bacteria
Description: partial 16S ribosomal RNA
Rfam family: Bacterial small subunit ribosomal RNA
Source: RNAcentral
GACGAACGCUGGCGGCGUGCUUAACACAUGCAAGUCGAACGGAAAGGCCCUGCUUUUGUGGGGUGCUCGAGUGGCGAACGGGUGAGUAACACGUGAGUAACCUGCCCUUGACUUUGGGAUAACUUCAGGAAACUGGGGCUAAUACCGGAUAGGAGCUCCUGCUGCAUGGUGGGGGUUGGAAAGUUUCAGCGGUUGGGGAU